RNAcentral lists this non-coding RNA (22 nucleotides) under Arabidopsis thaliana (thale cress). Lineage: Eukaryota; Viridiplantae; Streptophyta; Magnoliopsida; Brassicales; Brassicaceae. The record is from RNAcentral.
UCCAUUUAUGGUUUAAAGUGCA